This 499-nucleotide long non-coding RNA is filed under the name Anser brachyrhynchus (Pink-footed goose). RNAcentral describes it as "lncRNA (ENSABRG00000009876.1)". Lineage: Eukaryota; Metazoa; Chordata; Aves; Anseriformes; Anatidae. The record is from RNAcentral.
UGCUAGGAUACCAUUUGGUGGUCAACUGUCUCCAGUGCAGCUGCUAUUACUUGCCAGACUGACAGACAUAUUAGCUUUUAUCCCCCCUAAUGCUCGGGCUACAGAAAGUUUCCCUUCAUUUUAUUCCAUUUUGAUUUGGGGGGAGAGAUCAAGGUAAAGGUGCAGAAAGUACAGAAACACAAAGAAGCUACGGUGCACUUGAAUGUUGGUCUUCAUAUAUUUGAGAUGUGAUGAUUCCUGACAGCAACAGUGUCUUCAGAAUCAGGCACUGAGAGAAGGCGACCUCUAACAGAUGAAUGGCAGUGCUCAAAUUCAGAUUUAAGAAUUGGAUUAUGACUGAAGUGAUAGCACUCCUAUAUGACUGUCAACAUUUACUCUUUAUUCCAGGUUGGAACUGAAGGAGGCUAAACCUUGUGGAAGGAAAUCUAUCUCACGGUGAACUGUGCUUAGAGCUUGCUUAUUACAAGACAUGAAAAAUAAAUGGUUUGAGCGUGAAGCA